This 229-nucleotide long non-coding RNA is filed under the name Lathyrus oleraceus (garden pea). RNAcentral describes it as "Pisum sativum (pea) long non-coding RNA (PSAT_LNC007596)". The record is from RNAcentral. Lineage: Eukaryota; Viridiplantae; Streptophyta; Magnoliopsida; Fabales; Fabaceae.
GAAUAUUGACCUGGAUACCAAAAUAAAUGGUAACCCAGGAAUACCCAUGGCCUGAACGCCGCAUCCGCUGGGGAUUAUUAUUAUUUAUUUAUUUUGCUUUUUCUUGAACCCCAAAACUUUCUGAUUUAUUUUUUUCUUUUUUUCUUGAACCCCGAACAAAUAUUUUCUUUCGCGCGGAUGAUCCCGGAUCACCGCAUUUGAACCCCGACAACUUCAUAGUAUUCUUGUU